GAUGAACGCUAGCGGCAGGCCUAAUACAUGCAAGCCGAACGGCAAGUUUGAUAGCAAUAUUGGACCUAGAGUGGCGCAAGGGUGCGUAACACGUAUGCAACCUGCCCGCGACAGGAGGAUAGCUCCCCGAAAGGGGAAUUAACCCUCCAUAACACCAUGAGAAGGCAUCUGAUUAUGGUUAAACCGCAAGGGGUCGCGGAUGGGCAUGCGGUUGAUUAGCUAGUUGGCGGGGUAAAGGCCCACCAAGGCGGUGAUCAAUAGGGGUUCUGAGAGGAAGGUCCCCCACACUGGCACUGGGAUACGGGCCAGACUCCUACGGGAGGAAGCAGUAGGGAAUAUUGGACAAUGGUUGCAAGACUGAUCCAGCCAUGCCGCGUGCAGGAAGAAGGCCUUCUGGGUCGUAAACUGCUUUGUCCGGUGGAUAAAAUACCCGGGCGCGGGGAAUUGAAGGUAACAGGGGAAUAAGCCACGGCUAACUACGUG
RNAcentral lists this ribosomal RNA (483 nucleotides) under uncultured bacterium. RNAcentral's name for it is "partial 16S ribosomal RNA". It matches the Rfam family "Bacterial small subunit ribosomal RNA", at positions 28 to 507 of the family's 1533-position model. The record is from RNAcentral.